AGAGUUUGAUCCUGGCUCAGGAUGAACGCUAGCGGCAGGCCUAACACAUGCAAGUCGAGGGGCAGCGCGGUGUAGCAAUACACUGGCGGCGACCGGCAGAAGGGUGCGUAACGCGUGAACAACAUGCCCGACACAGGGGGAUAAGCGGUGGAAACGCCGUCUAAUACCGCAUAACGCUUAUGGGCGGCAUCGCCCGAAAGCCAAAUUCGCGAGAAGGUGUCGGAUUGGUUCGCGAGACAUUAGCCAGUUGGCGGGGUAACGGCCCACCAAAGCGAUGAUGUCUAGGGGUUCUGAGAGGAAGGUCCCCCACACUGGAACUGAGACACGGUCCAGACUCCUACGGGAGGCAGCAGUGAGGAAUAUUGGACAAUGGUCGGAAGACUGAUCCAGCCAUGCCGCGUGAAGGGAAAGGUCCUAUGGAUUUUCAACUUCUUUUGUACGGGGGCAAUAAGGUCCACGCGUGGGCCGAUGAGAGUACCGUACGAAUAAGCAUCGGCUAACUCCGUGCCAGCAGCCGCGGUAAUACGGAGGAUGCAAGCGUUAUCCGGAUUUAUUGGGUUUAAAGGGUGCGUAGGCGGAUUUUCAAGUCAGUGGUGAAAUACCCGGGCCAAACCCGGGAGCUGCCGUUGAAACUGGGAGUCUAGGAUACGGUUGCCGUGGGAGGAAUGAGUAGUGUAGCGGUGAAAUGCAUAGAUAUUACUCAGAACACCGAUUGCGAAAGCAUCUCACGAAGCCGUCAUUGACGCUGAGGCACGAAAGUGUGGGGAUCGAACAGGAUUAGAUACCCUGGUAGUCCACACAGUAAACGAUGAUAACUAGCUGUCGGCGAUAUACAGUCGGAGGCUAAGCAAAAGCGAUAAGUUAUCCACCUGGGGAGUACGACCGCAAGGUU
RNAcentral lists this ribosomal RNA (892 nucleotides) under uncultured bacterium. Its description in RNAcentral is "bacterial SSU rRNA". It matches the Rfam family "Bacterial small subunit ribosomal RNA", at positions 8 to 895 of the family's 1533-position model. The record is from RNAcentral.